This 253-nucleotide ribosomal RNA is filed under the name uncultured bacterium. RNAcentral's name for it is "partial 16S ribosomal RNA". It matches the Rfam family "Bacterial small subunit ribosomal RNA", at positions 524 to 776 of the family's 1533-position model. The record is from RNAcentral.
UACAGAGGGGGCAAGCGUUGUUCGGAAUUACUGGGCGUAAAGGGCUCGUAGGCGGCCAACUAAGUCGGAUGUGAAAUCCCCAGGCUUAACCUGGGAACUGCAUCCGAUACUGGAUGGCUUGAAUCCGGGAGAGGGAUGCAGAAUUCCAGGUGUAGCGGUGAAAUGCGUAGAUAUCUGGAGGAAUACCGGUGGCGAAGGCGGCAUCCUGGACCGGCAUUGACGCUGAAGCGCGAAAGCUAGGGGAGCGAACGGG